AGGGUGAGAGAUGGUCAUCAAAUAUGCCGAAUAGGGGAGUAAAAGAGAGAUGCUGGAAGCAUUUAUGAGAGUACUGUGCGUGACUGGAAGAACAAAGGAAAAACUGCUAGCUAAAUAGCUAGACAACAUCGACACUCGCUGCAUAAUUAUCAAGAGAGGUUGUCUGGAGAAGGGGGGAAGGAAUGUGUUAGACAUAUGGAGUUUAUCCAAGCACAUCCAAAGCCUUGGAUUCCAGUGGAUGAUCUGACUGCUGAACAUCAGUCGAAAGCAGAAUUAUUUCUGGUUUUUGGCAGGUCUAGAAACUAUUGAAGGCAUUUCUACCAAAGAUUUUCAGGAUGCUUGGACGUCUCUCUAUCCUGAACCACGGUACAUAUAACCAAAUAAAGGUGCAUGGUUUGUAUACUUUGAUUCUUGGGGUAUUGUGUAAGUGAUUUGACAGGCCCAGUGCAUUCUCCUGGUUCUUACACAAUAUGGACAAAGCUCGUGAUCCUGGAUUGACAUUUAGUACCCUCGAGGAAGCACUAGUCAGACGAGUAAAUGUUGAUAUUGAUGUAUGUAAUGAAUUGUUGUUUAAAUUGGCAAUGAAAGCAUUUGUCUUCAGAUUGACUAUCUGUUUUUGGCAUUGGAUGGAAGAGGAGGAAUAGAAGCUGUUAAUCUAAUAGAUGAUGGAAUACGAUGGUCUGUGGUGAAAUUUAGUUGAACCGAUGUUUGUUCAACUUUGCAGAAAUGUUUGAUUUGUUUGUCAGGAAUGGAGUAACGUUUGAUCACUUGGGAGUUAGUGUUAUAUUGAAUGUUACUAAAUGUUAACAAAUGAGACUGAGAAUACAGAGAGUACAGAGUGACUUGCCAUUGUUUGUAUCCAGUGGUACAAGUAAGAAACCACUUGUUAUAGUGCUAGAUUGCAUACCUUUAAGUGCUAAUUUAAUAUCGUGACUUUGCAGAGGAUUUAUAAUCAUGAUGAUUACAGUAGUAGUUGCAUUCUGUUUGCUGACUACGUUACAGUGUCUUCUGGAAGGGUCAAUAUUGCAUGUUUAGA
This is a long non-coding RNA of Corticium candelabrum, 1036 nucleotides long. RefSeq lists it as uncharacterized. NCBI's taxonomy places the organism in Eukaryota, Metazoa, Porifera, Homoscleromorpha, Homosclerophorida, Plakinidae. The record is from RefSeq and is a predicted model, not a curated record. The transcript has 3 exons.